This 440-nucleotide ribosomal RNA is filed under the name uncultured bacterium. Its description in RNAcentral is "bacterial SSU rRNA". It matches the Rfam family "Bacterial small subunit ribosomal RNA", at positions 338 to 795 of the family's 1533-position model. The record is from RNAcentral.
CCUACGGGUGGCAGCAGCAAGGAAUCUUCGGCACUGGGCGCAAGCCUGACCGAGCAACGCCGCGUGGAGGACGACGGCCUUCGGGUUGUAAACUCCUUUCGCGGGGGACGAAUGGGACGGUACCCCGAGAAGCAGCCCCGGCUAACUCUGUGCCAGCAGCCGCGGUAAGACAGAGGGGGCAAGCGUUGUCCGGAUUUACUGGGCGUACAGCGCGCGUAGGCGGCUGGCGACGUGCCGUGUGACAGGCGGGGGCUCAACCCCCGACGGCCACGGUAGACGCGCCGGCUCGAGGCAGGGAGAGGGAUGUGGAAUACCCGGUGGAGCGGUGAAAUGCGUAGAGAUCGGGUGGAACACCAGGGGCGCAGGCGGCAUCCUGGCCCUGUGCUGACGCUGAGGCGCGAGAGCGUGGGGAGCGAACUGGAUUAGAUACCCCGGUAGUC